GUCUUCUGGCAUGGGGAAGAGAAGUUAAAUCAGGUUGAGUUAGCCAUAUACUGCGCCCCAUUUAACGGCUUGAGAAGAAAACCCUUCAACCUCUUUUCAAAUGGUUGGUGUGCAGGUUAGCCUGGCUGCUGUCCAUGGGCAUCUCCUGGCCAUCGGGGGCUACGACGGCAUCGUUCACGUUUCGACGGUGGAAGCCUUCGAUCUGGAUCUCAACGCAUGGAGAAGUUUUGGCAACAUGAAGAGGCGUCACCCAGGCGGAGGCGUCACUGUGAUCCAAAUGGCCACUGAAGAUGCAGAAUCCUUUGAGUCCCCUUGGAGCAGAUAACCAGAAGAUGAACAAGAACUAGUUCUAGAUUCCGAUUAGGUAGGGUGAGUUCUUUAGCUAGAUCUGAGCUUCAGCAGGAAGAAAGAGCUGUACAUCCAUACUUGAAACAAGAUUCUUUAUUUUAUUCAUUCACUUUUCUAUAGCCGUCCAUCUCAGUCCAGCUGAUUCUGGGCGGUGAACAAUUUCACAACCGUUAAUACACAAAAUUGAAAAAUCAAAGUGUGGAGAUCCUAUCAUUUGCUCCACUAUUUCUUUUCAGGGUUGGAAUCUCCUUGGAUCCUGACCUAAUGUUUUCACCAGUGCCUUUCCAGUUGCACCACCAACACUCAGAAAUGCUAAAUGGUGGAAUGAUCUUGGAAUUAACAGAAGCAGAAUACACCUGUUGAGUCCUAAUAUGUUCACACACCAUCAUAUUUGGGUUAAGAUACACUUAUGCACACCUCCAUAUUUCAUGAUUGAGCCAUGGUGGUGCAGUGGUUAGAAUGCAAGAUUGCAGGCUAACUCUGCUGACUGCCAGCAGUUCAAUCCUGACUGGCUCAAGGUUGACUCAGCCUUCCAUCCUUCUGAGGUUGGUAAAAUGAGGACCCAGAUUGUUGGGGGCAAGAGGCUGACUCUGUAAACUGCUUAGAGAGGGCUGGAAAGCGCUAUGGUAUAUAAAUCUAAGUGCUAUUACUAUCUAUCCCUCCAUCUAUCUAUCAUCCAUCCAUCCAUCCAUCCAUCCAUCCAUCCAUCCAUCUAUCUAUCUAUCUAUCUAUCUAUCUAUCUAUCUUAUCUAUCAUCUGCCAUGGUGGCUCAGUAGUUAGGAUGCAAUGUUGCAUAAUAAUUCUGCCAAUGCCAGCAGUUCGAUCCUCCUCGGCUCAAGGUUGAUUCAGCCUUCCCUCUUUCCAAGGCUGGUAAAAUAAGGAUCCAGAUUGUUGGGGGCAAGAGGCUGACUCUGUAAACCAUUUAAAGAGUUCUAUAAAGCAUUAUGAAACAGUAUAUAAGUCUAAGUGCUAUCACUAUUCUAAAAAAGGCUAAACAUUCUUCUUGUUUGUUUCUUUGUUUUAACCACAUCGCCUACUAUCCUGGUUUGUUGACUAAAAGUGCUUCUUGGCCCUAAGAGUUUGGCUGCAAUUACAUAAAUUGUCCUGCUUCAGAAAACCAUGUUAUUUCCAAGGGAAUGCUAAUCAAGGAGAGAAGCAACCUAGAAC
RNAcentral lists this long non-coding RNA (1515 nucleotides) under Naja naja (Indian cobra). RNAcentral's name for it is "lncRNA (ENSNNAG00000019140.1)". Lineage: Eukaryota; Metazoa; Chordata; Lepidosauria; Squamata; Elapidae. The record is from RNAcentral.